GCCAACGUAGCUCAGCUGGUAGAGCUACUGAUUUGUAAUCAGUGGGUCGGGGGUUCAAGUCCCUCCGUUGGCUCCA
RNAcentral lists this transfer RNA (76 nucleotides) under Desulfonema limicola. Its description in RNAcentral is "tRNA-Thr". It matches the Rfam family "tRNA". From Rfam's summary of the family: Transfer RNA (tRNA) molecules are approximately 80 nucleotides in length. Their secondary structure includes four short double-helical elements and three loops (D, anti-codon, and T loops). Further hydrogen bonds mediate the characteristic L-shaped molecular structure. tRNAs have two regions of fundamental functional importance: the anti-codon, which is responsible for specific mRNA codon recognition, and the 3' end, to which the tRNAs corresponding amino acid is attached (by aminoacyl-tRNA synthetases). tRNAs cope with the degeneracy of the genetic code in two manners: having more than one tRNA (with a specific anti-codon) for a particular amino acid; and 'wobble' base-pairing, i.e. permitting non-standard base-pairing at the 3rd anti-codon position. Lineage: Bacteria; Pseudomonadati; Thermodesulfobacteriota; Desulfobacteria; Desulfobacterales; Desulfococcaceae. The record is from RNAcentral.